Molecule: long non-coding RNA, 428 nt
Filed under: Triticum aestivum (bread wheat)
Lineage: Eukaryota; Viridiplantae; Streptophyta; Magnoliopsida; Poales; Poaceae
Description: long non-coding RNA (TAES_LNC011155)
Source: RNAcentral
AUGGAAAUUGAUUACAAUGUAUGGUGCAACAAAGUUAUCACCCUGCAUGUAAGCUAGUAGUACUUCCUGUUUCGAUGUUCUUUUCCUAAGAUGGUGUUGGUUGUUUUCUGUAGUACGCCUGUUGCUAAAUGCUAACUCCCUAUGAAACUGAUAAUUUGAUUCCUGAACCCCUAUUUGUUAAUGUUGUCAUACCUUAGAGAAAAAAAAAGGGCAGCCCCAGUGCAUGUAGCUCCCGCUUGCGCAGGGUCUGGAGAAGGGUCCGACCACUUUGGGUCUAUUGUACGCAGCCUUUCCCUACAUUUCUGUAAGAGGCUGUUUUCAGGACUUGAACCCGUGACCUCAUGGUCACAAGGCAGCAGCUUUACCACUGCGCUAACGCUCCCCUUCGUUGUCAUACCUUAGAGAAGAUCUCCGUAAAUGAGAAGGCC